This is a long non-coding RNA of Carassius carassius (crucian carp), 404 nucleotides long. RefSeq lists it as uncharacterized. Lineage: Eukaryota; Metazoa; Chordata; Actinopteri; Cypriniformes; Cyprinidae. The record is from RefSeq and is a predicted model, not a curated record. The transcript has 3 exons.
AGUUGCUAAAGACCAAACUAGUCAAAAGUCACUUCCUCUGACCAGGCCCCAUCAGCUCAAGCAUGCUUCUCUCUUUUCAACAGCACACCACAGCGCUUCUGCUGUUUACCAAGAGAGUAAACAAAGUACUACUGAAAACCUAUCUUCUUCAUAACAGAGUCACAAGGGUCUACGCAGCGCACUUUCCACAUAAUUAGCUGGGAAGAAAAGUCACUGGUCUGGUUGCAGUGCUCUGAAUGAACUUGAGGACAGCUACACAGCCCUGCUGUAUGAUCCAUUCUGCCCGGCCCCAGCGACAGAGCGGCUUUCCCGUCCCUUCCUCUCCUCCUCCUGUUUCUGCAGGGCUCUCCCUCCCCUCAACACGGCAGCGCAAAGUUUAACUGUGCAUGACAGAUGGCCGUGAA